Molecule: long non-coding RNA, 768 nt
Filed under: Capsella rubella
Lineage: Eukaryota; Viridiplantae; Streptophyta; Magnoliopsida; Brassicales; Brassicaceae
Description: long non-coding RNA (CRUB_LNC001797)
Source: RNAcentral
AAAAAAUUAGGCCUAAUUAGUCUUUCGCUCUUGUUCAAAUACUACCACACAAAACAUAUCAAAGAAACAAUGGUUCUUACAGAUGCUGAGCUUCUUGAGCUUCAGGCUGAAAUAGAUCGUCUCCAUGAAGCAUUGGCGAAAUAUGAAAAACAGGAGAAGGUGAAAGUCUUUUACAUUUUGAUAUAUAUAUUUCCAUUGUUUUGUGUGUACGAAAUAUAUAAUCAGAUUUUGUUUUGUAUAUAAAAUAAUUAGGAUUGGGAAAACCAUGAGACUGAGCAUAGCGAGGAGCUUCUAGCUGAGAUGCUUAGUAUCGAAGUAGCAAAAUCAAUAAUUGAAGAACAUUUGACGGUAAUAUAUAAAUAUAUAUCCAUUUAAAUGAUGAUCUUUAUUAAUUAUAACAAUGCAUCUAAUUUAUAUAUAUAUAUAUAUAUAUAUAUGUGUGUUUCUUUUGGAGUGAAUAAUUGGAUUAUUGAAAUAUAUUAGGAAUUGAAGAAGAUAAAAUGCAAAGCUAUUGCGGAGGUCGCGAUGCAUCAUCCUCUUCUAAAGAAAGAAACAAAUUAAAGCUUGAUGGGAUCAUGACAAAAGAAAAGAGAAAAAUUAAUUAGUAGUAACUUUCAUAUUAUCGUGGUUUAUUAUCAACCUUAAAAAAAAAAAUUUGAAAUAAUUUAGUUUAGGUCUUAUUGGAACAAUGAAUAUGUGGAGUAUCUUUGUUCUCAAAAUUUGUAGGAUUCUCAUAUAUAAUCAAUUAAUAAAGUAUUAAUCUUGAAU